Long non-coding RNA from Salvia miltiorrhiza (redroot sage), 824 nucleotides. RefSeq lists it as uncharacterized. The record is from RefSeq and is a predicted model, not a curated record. The transcript has 2 exons. Lineage: Eukaryota; Viridiplantae; Streptophyta; Magnoliopsida; Lamiales; Lamiaceae.
GGAAAUGGAUGAAAUAAUUUUAUUUGCACAUGUUAUUUUAUUAAAAUAUCUUAGCCUUAAUUUCCACAUGUUUGAAUGUUCGGUUAAUUAUUUAUGACCGAUCCCGAAUAUCCCAAACAAUUCGAGCCGACAUCGUUUAUCUGCUUCAACAGCAACGAAAAAGAUCCAAACCUCACACAAUCAAGCAGGGAUUAGAUUACUAACAAUGGAUAAGAAAGAAUCUGCCAAGCGGGCCUCUGAGGAUGCGACUCGCGAGUCUCUAAUUGCAAUUUCAUAUGGAGCACCAGAUCUAACUGCUAAAAAGUCACCUAAAAGUAAACCAGGGGAGAAUGUAGUUGAACCUCUUAAUCAUGAUGAUGAUGAGAAAUAUAGAUCUGAGUUGAUCUCCAUAUCAUCUUCAACAUCUUCAAACAUGCAAGCACAACCAGUCUUGCCCGGGCAACCUCAACCUUAGCCUGGACAACAGACACGACUGAUGGCCUCAUUAUAACCUUUGGGAUAAAUGAUAACAAGUUCUGGCUUGAAUUUUUCCCUUACUGCAGGGGCCUUCAGUGUAUUUGGCUCUUUAUCGAACUGUUACCUUUCUAAAACUGCCAUGGUGACCAUUAGACUGGCUGAUGUUUAAAAUCUUGAUAAUGUAAGAAUAUUCGGACAUGUACCACUGCAUAAGUAGUCAGUGGCAGCCAUCGCUGCAAAAAAGUUUGCUUCUUUUAGCUUCUACUUUUGCUGCAUUCGACUUUGAAACUUCUAGUCACAAAUAACUUUUGUUUGUGCCUUCAAUAUAUUUUCUAAUGGAAUUAUCUGUGAGAAUCCAGUUGGAAAAA